UGGGGAAUAUUGCACAAUGGAGGNAANUCUGAUGCAGCAAUGCCGCGUGAGUGAAGAAGGCCCUUGGGUUGUAAAGCUCUUUUAUGGGGGAAGAUGAUGACGGUACCCCANGAAUAAGCACCGGCUAAAUACGUGCCAGCAGCCGCGGUAAUACGUAGGGUGCGAGCGUUGUUCGGAAUUACUGGGCGUAAAGGGCGCGCAGGCGGAGNUGNAAGUCGGAGGUGAAAGCCCGGGGCUCAACCCCGGAGGGUCUUUCGAAACUGCNUCUCUAGAGAGGGUCAGGGGCCGGCAGAAUUCCUGGUGUAGAGGUGAAAUUCGUAGAUAUCAGGAGGAAUACCGGUGGCGAAAGCGGCCGGCUGGGGCCACUCUGACGCUGAGGCGCGAAAGCGUGGGGAGCAAACAGGAUUAGAUACCCUGGUAGUCCACGCCGUAAACGAUGAGCACUGGACGUUCGGAGGGUUCGACCCUUCUGGGUGUUUCAGCUAACGCAUUAAGUGCUCCGCCUG
RNAcentral lists this ribosomal RNA (506 nucleotides) under uncultured bacterium. RNAcentral's name for it is "bacterial SSU rRNA". It matches the Rfam family "Bacterial small subunit ribosomal RNA", at positions 355 to 875 of the family's 1533-position model. The record is from RNAcentral.